This 103-nucleotide microRNA precursor is filed under the name Pelobates cultripes (western spadefoot toad). Lineage: Eukaryota; Metazoa; Chordata; Amphibia; Anura; Pelobatidae. The record is from RNAcentral.
GGAUCAGGCAUACAAUAUCACAUAAAAAAGUGCAUUUAUAUACACUUACACUUUAUGUAUAUAAAUGCACUUUUUUAUGUGAUAUUGUAUGCCUGAUCCUGAU